Belonocnema kinseyi is the source of this 338-nucleotide long non-coding RNA. RefSeq lists it as uncharacterized. Lineage: Eukaryota; Metazoa; Arthropoda; Insecta; Hymenoptera; Cynipidae. The transcript is spliced from 3 exons. The record is from RefSeq and is a predicted model, not a curated record.
GAUUUGCCGAUUACGGAAAACUCGAGAGGAAACACAUUUCUGCAACUUUUGUGCUCACCUGAAUCCCAGUGACAUUUUAUCAGCGGAUCGUUCAUACACGAAUACUGCCAGAUUUGUGUCGCCUUACGUGAAUUUGCGGGUUCCAACCAUGUUUGCUCUUUGUGUGGGCGCUACCUCCAUAUGGUUCCACGCGAGGUCAGUUGAAUAUGCGAAACCCUUGUCCACGAUGGUAAAGUUGAAAAACCGGAAGCGAUUUGACUGAAAGGCGGCUUGGAGGACACCUUAUCUAUUUAGUUAUGUUUCAUUUUCAAUUAAUUUUAAAUUCUUAUUCAUGAUAG